RNAcentral lists this ribosomal RNA (450 nucleotides) under uncultured bacterium. RNAcentral's name for it is "bacterial SSU rRNA". It matches the Rfam family "Bacterial small subunit ribosomal RNA", at positions 354 to 796 of the family's 1533-position model. The record is from RNAcentral.
GUGGGGAAUAUUGGACAAUGGGCGAAAGCCUGAUCCAGCCAUGCCGCGUGUGUGAAGAAGGUCUUCGGAUUGUAAAGCACUUUAAGUUGGGAGGAAGGGCAGUAAGUUAAUACCUUGCUGUUUUGACAUUACCAACAGAAAUAGCACCGGCUAACUUCGUGCCAGCAGCCGCGGUAAUACGAAGGGUGCAAGCGUUAAUCGGAAUUACUGGGCGUAAAGCGCGCGUAGGUGGUUUUGUAAGUUGGAGGUGAAAUCCCCGGGCUCAACCUGGGAACUGCCUCCAAAACUGCAUGACUAGAGUACGGUAGAGGGUAGUGGAAUUUCCUGUGUAGCGGUGAAAUGCGUAGAUAUAGGAAGGAACACCAGUGGCGAAGGCGACUACCUGGACUGAUACUGACACUGAGGUGCGAAAGCGUGGGGAGCAAACAGGAUUAGAAACCCUAGUAAUCC